GUGGAAGUCUCACCCAAAAUGGUGAGUGGGGGUUCAACCUAGGGCGAUGCAGCCAUGGCUCAAUGUUCGGGUGCUUGCUGACGAUGGGUGGUGUCAGAAAAUACACACACAUGGACGGCCAAACAGGAGUUUCAAAAUCUUGGAUUUUUCCAAAAAAAACAAUGAUAAAUCGAUAGAAAUCUUGAUUUGUAAUCAAAAGGAAUUG
Molecule: long non-coding RNA, 205 nt
Filed under: Elaeis guineensis (African oil palm)
Lineage: Eukaryota; Viridiplantae; Streptophyta; Magnoliopsida; Arecales; Arecaceae
Description: long non-coding RNA (EGUI_LNC018362)
Source: RNAcentral